RNAcentral lists this ribosomal RNA (250 nucleotides) under uncultured bacterium. RNAcentral's name for it is "partial 16S ribosomal RNA". It matches the Rfam family "Bacterial small subunit ribosomal RNA", at positions 104 to 354 of the family's 1533-position model. The record is from RNAcentral.
UGGUGAGUAACGCGUGAGGAACCUGCCUUCCAGAGGGGGACAACAGUUGGAAACGACUGCUAAUACCGCAUGAAACAUUUGAACCGCAUGGUUUGAAUGUCAAAGAUUUAUCGCUGGAAGAUGGCCUCGCGUCUGAUUAGCUAGUAGGCGGGGUAACGGCCCACCUAGGCGACGAUCAGUAGCCGGACUGAGAGGUUGACCGGCCACAUUGGGACUGAGAUACGGCCCAGACUCCUACGGAAGGCAGCAG